UCUGCCUCCAGGGGAUCUCCCUGACCCGGAGACUGAACGCACGUCACCUUGACUCCUGCACUGUAGGCGGAUUCUUUACCACUGAGCCACCGAGAAGCACCUGACAGCACUAUUAGGGUUGAGAAAAUGCAGCUGGGCUUUCAGAACACAAAAAGAGUCAGGAAGAACAUGAAAUCUCAACAAGCCAAUGAGGUCAUCUGAGUGAUCAUAGGAGAAAUGAGGAAUCAUGAAGAUUAUAUCUUGACAGAAGAGAGAGAGAAAAGUGAAAGGAGAGCAAGCCUGAAGAGGCAGCAGGGUCAGUGAAAUAGGAUGCAGAGCCUUUAGUGAACAGCAUGUUUAUUUCAAGGAAAAUUAAUAGCGUAUUAUGAAGCACCUAUUGAUCGCUCUAGAUUUACUAUUUGUUACGAUGGAGAAACAGAAGAUAUGACAACUUGGUGCUUAAACAUUUCAGUGAGGAGAAAGAAAAGGCGUAUAUAGACAUUUUAAUACCAUUAUCAAGUGCUGUGCAAAAAAAGCACCACAGUGAUUCUUCCACCAGAAUUAUACAGAAUGUAGAUUUCAUUGCAAGUCAGUAGAAGCAAGAAGAAUUCAUGGCGUGAAGGUAUCUGAGCAGAUCAAGCAUCAAAUAAGUGGAAAAGACAGGUAAGUGUACUCUGAGGGAUUGGAAGGGCAGGGCGGUGCCAUGAAGUAAAAGAAAUAGAAAGGAAAUUCAUAUGGCUUGCACAAAAGGUCAUGAGUUCCCCUCCACCUGGGAUGACCUGGGAGAUUUUGGAGAAAACAGUUGUCAGACAGGCUGAUAGAUAGAAAAGACCAGAAUAUAAAGGACUUCUUAUAUUGAAUUAUUUUAAAUUUUACUGAAUAAAUCAAAUAAUCCCAACCUCUCAGCAUAAAUAUUUCAUUCUUCCACUGUGAGACUCUAACGUUGGAGGUGUCACACGCAAUUAUAAAUGCUUCAGAGUAGAAUAGAGCAAUCACUCUGUUAGGGUUUGGAAUCAGGCAAAUCUUGUUCUAUUUUUUACUACUUACAAGUUAGGUGAUAUCAAGCAAAUGACUUAAACUUGCUGAAUCUCAUUUUAUAUAUCUACAAAAUGGAGACUGUACUAUUUAUUUCGAAGGAUGUUAUAUAGAUGAAAUUAAAUUAUACAAUGCUGUGAUACUGACUUAUAAAAAAAAAUACAUACUUGAUCUUCCAGUUUCUGGCAGAAUCCUUAAAACCAUCAAAAUUCUCUAAGAGAGGAGAGCAAUAAAAGAUGUCUUUUGUAAUGUUAAUGAUAUUACUUUAGGAAAGCCCUUAGGUAAAGAGAGGCUGGGGCUGGUUUCCAGAGGAAGCAUCUUUGAAUGGAAGGUUGGAACUUUCAGUCUACCUUCUGAUUUUCAGGGUUUCAUGGGGGCUGAGGUGGAAUUAAUUACUCAAUGACCAAUGACUUAAUCAAUCAUCCAUAUUUAAUGAAGCCUGAAUAAAAACUCCCCAAAGAAGGGUUUUGGAGAUCUUUCAGGUCGGCACACGUGGCAGUAUGGGAAGACUGGGCUCCUGGAGUGAGCCUGGAAGCACCACACCUUUCCCCCAUGUUCUGUGCUGCAAUUGCAGCUGACUGUUCCUGAGCUACAUCCUUCUACAAGAAAACCAGGGAGCUAUACUUAUCCCCUGAUGUAUAAAAAGAGGGACCUUAUAAGGCAUCACCUCCACUGGAACAGAGAGUGACAGAGGCUCUACUCGUAAGUAUGCUGAAAUUACAACUUCAUUCACUACCACUUUCUAUGAGAAGAAAAGCUCCAGGGAGGCAAGUACUUCAUCUGUAUUAUUCAGAGCUGUAUGACAAGAUUCUUAAAGUGUCUGACAGAGGAGAUAUUUAGUAAAUAAAUAUUUAUUAAAUGAA
Odocoileus virginianus texanus is the source of this 1877-nucleotide non-coding RNA. The record is from RefSeq and is a predicted model, not a curated record. Lineage: Eukaryota; Metazoa; Chordata; Mammalia; Artiodactyla; Cervidae.